GUCAGGAUGGCCGAGCGGUCUAAGGUGCCAGAUUUAAAUUCUGGUUCUCGAAAGAGUGUGUUGUUUCAAACCCCACUCCUGACA
This is a non-coding RNA of Trichonephila clavipes, 84 nucleotides long. The record is from the annotation of a GenBank genome assembly. NCBI's taxonomy places the organism in Eukaryota, Metazoa, Arthropoda, Arachnida, Araneae, Nephilidae.